UACAGAGGUGGCAAGCGUUGUUCGGAAUUACUGGGCGUAAAGGGCGCGUAGGCGGCUUGGUCAGUCCCGUGUGAAAUCCCUCGGCUCAACUGAGGAACUGCACGGGAAACUGCCUGGCUUGAGUUCGGGAGAGGGAAGCGGAAUUCCGGGUGUAGCGGUGAAAUGCGUAGAUAUCGGGAGGAACACCAAUGGCGAAGGCAGCUCGCUGGGACGUUACUGACGCUGAGACGCGAAAGCGUGGGGAGCAAACAGG
RNAcentral lists this ribosomal RNA (253 nucleotides) under uncultured bacterium. Its description in RNAcentral is "partial 16S ribosomal RNA". It matches the Rfam family "Bacterial small subunit ribosomal RNA", at positions 524 to 776 of the family's 1533-position model. The record is from RNAcentral.